This 207-nucleotide ribosomal RNA is filed under the name uncultured Syntrophaceae bacterium. RNAcentral's name for it is "partial 16S ribosomal RNA". It matches the Rfam family "Bacterial small subunit ribosomal RNA", at positions 568 to 774 of the family's 1533-position model. The record is from RNAcentral. Lineage: Bacteria; Pseudomonadati; Thermodesulfobacteriota; Syntrophia; Syntrophales; Syntrophaceae.
CGUGUAGGCGGCUGAAUAAGUCAGAUGUGAAAUCCCUGGGCUUAACCCAGGACGUGCAUUUGAAACUAUUCAGCUUGAGUAAGGGAGAGGAAAGUGGAAUUCCUGGUGUAGAGGUGAAAUUCGUAGAUAUCAGGAGGAACACCGGUGGCGAAGGCGACUUUCUGGCCCUAUACUGACGCUGAGACGCGAGAGCGUGGGUAGCAAACA